GGGAGAGCUCCAAUGUCCUAUAGAGUAUCUUGAGGCUCCGCCUCAGCAGUUAGCUCCCAUCUUGGCUAGGGACUUGUUAGCCUUGUAGUUUCUUUCUGUCGUUUUUUAAUUUUCCGAUGUACCAAAAAAAAAAAAUAUCAAUCAUUUUUUUAUUCUCUUCCUAUUUACUCAAGGUGAUGAUGAAUAACAUAUGUAAACCAAACAUUAUUCAGUUCAAACCUAAAAUUUGUGCGAUAUGAGAUUCUAUCGUAUUCUACUCAAUUAAUCCUCUUAAGUUUUCCAUGCCUCACUUUGAUGAACGUACGGGAGCGAGUAAAAGUUCCUAUUCUUUUCACUUUUCAAGUAGUAAACAAACUGAAGAUCGACCAAAUGAAACACAAGCUUUGAAGUGAGAAAGUGAAGAAAGAAAAGGCAACCUAUGAUUGAAGAAUCUUCAUGUCUUCAUAUUAUGAGAUGAGAGAGAAAACACUUGACUCUUGCUUCACGACCAUGUCUUUCCUGCACAUGUAUAUACUUCUGGCCUACGCGCGUGAUUGGGUACGUAGCUAGGACCCUAUAGUACUGUUCAUCCUUCAUUCAUUAGCUAGCUAGCUCAUAAAUUUUCAAGAGAAGCUAGGCAAACCCAUAGUAUGGCUUUAUCAUAAAUAAAUAAAUACUCACAUACUGUAUAUAUCUUCCUU
This 680-nucleotide long non-coding RNA is filed under the name Lotus japonicus. Its description in RNAcentral is "long non-coding RNA (LJAP_LNC000937)". The record is from RNAcentral. Lineage: Eukaryota; Viridiplantae; Streptophyta; Magnoliopsida; Fabales; Fabaceae.